GGACUGUAGCUCAGUUGGUAGAGUGCUUGCCUCACAUGUACAAUGUCCUGGGUUCAAUCCUCAGCACCA
RNAcentral lists this transfer RNA (69 nucleotides) under Marmota monax (woodchuck). Its description in RNAcentral is "tRNA.Val". Lineage: Eukaryota; Metazoa; Chordata; Mammalia; Rodentia; Sciuridae. The record is from RNAcentral.